AGUGGCGGACGGGUGAGUAACACGUGGGAACGUGCCUUUAGGUUCGGAAUAACUCAGGGAAACUUGUGCUAAUACCGAAUGUGCCCUUCGGGGGAAAGAUUUAUCGCCUUUAGAGCGGCCCGCGUCUGAUUAGCUAGUUGGUGAGGUAAAGGCUCACCAAGGCGACGAUCAGUAGCUGGUCUGAGAGGAUGAUCAGCCACAUUGGGACUGAGACACGGCCCAAACUCCUACGGGAGGCAGCAGUGGGGAAUCUUGCGCAAUGGGCGAAAGCCUGACGCAGCCAUGCCGCGUGAAUGAUGAAGGUCUUAGGAUUGUAAAAUUCUUUCACCGGGGACGAUAAUGACGGUACCCGGAGAAGAAGCCCCGGCUAACUUCGUGCCAGCAGCCGCGGUAAUACGAAGGGGGCUAGCGUUGCUCGGAAUUACUGGGCGUAAAGGGAGCGUAGGCGGACAUUUAAGUCAGGGGUGAAAUCCCGGGGCUCAACCUCGGAAUUGCCUUUGAUACUGGGUGUCUUGAGUAUGAGAGAGGUGUGUGGAACUCCGAGUGUAGAGG
Molecule: ribosomal RNA, 552 nt
Filed under: Brevundimonas sp.
Lineage: Bacteria; Pseudomonadati; Pseudomonadota; Alphaproteobacteria; Caulobacterales; Caulobacteraceae
Description: bacterial SSU rRNA
Rfam family: Bacterial small subunit ribosomal RNA
Source: RNAcentral